RNAcentral lists this ribosomal RNA (432 nucleotides) under uncultured bacterium. RNAcentral's name for it is "partial 16S ribosomal RNA". It matches the Rfam family "Bacterial small subunit ribosomal RNA", at positions 29 to 506 of the family's 1533-position model. The record is from RNAcentral.
AACGAACGCUGGCGGCAUGCCUAACACAUGCAAGUCGAACGAAAACUUCGGGUCUAUUGGCGCACGGGUGCGUAACGCGUGGGAACCUGCCCUUAGGUUCGGCAUAACUCCCCGAAAGGGGUGCUAAUACCGGAUAAUGUCUUCGGACCAAAGAUUUAUCGCCUUUGGAUGGGCCCGCGUUGGAUUAGCUAGUUGGUAGGGUAAAAGCCUACCAAGGCGACGAUCCAUAGCUGGUCUGAGAGGAUGAUCAGCCACACUGGGACUGAGACACGGCCCAGACUCCUACGGGAGGCAGCAGUGGGGAAUAUUGGACAAUGGGCGAAAGCCUGAUCCAGCAAUGCCGCGUGAGUGAUGAAGGCCUUAGGGUUGUAAAGCCCUUUUACCCGGGAUGAUAAUGACAGUACCGGGAGAAUAAGCUCCGGCUAACUCCGU